UACGUAGGGUGCAAGCGUUGUCCGGAAUUAUUGGGCGUAAAGAGCUCGUAGGCGGUUUGUCGCGUCGAAUGUGAAAUCCCGGGGCUCAACCCCGGGUCUGCAUUCGAUACGGGCAGACUAGAGUUCGGUAGGGGAGUCUGGAAUUCCAGGUGUAGCGGUGAAAUGCGCAGAUAUCAGGAGGAACACCGGUGGCGAAGGCGGGACUCUGGGCCGAUACUGACGCUGAGGAGCGAAAGCGUGGGGAGCAAACAGG
This 253-nucleotide ribosomal RNA is filed under the name uncultured bacterium. Its description in RNAcentral is "partial 16S ribosomal RNA". It matches the Rfam family "Bacterial small subunit ribosomal RNA", at positions 524 to 776 of the family's 1533-position model. The record is from RNAcentral.